CAGUGCCGCGGUAAUACGAAGGGUGCAAGCGUUAAUCGGAAUUACUGGGCGUAAAGCGCGCGUAGGUGGUUUGGUAAGAUGGAUGUGAAAUCCCCGGGCUCAACCUGGGAACUGCAUCCAUAACUGCCUGACUAGAGUACGGUAGAGGGUGGUGGAAUUUCCUGUGUAGCGGUGAAAUGCGUAGAUAUAGGAAGGAACACCAGUGGCGAAGGCGACCACCUGGACUGAUACUGACACUGAGGUGCGAAAGCGUGGGGAGCAAACAGGAUUAGAUACCCCCGUAGUCCCUGUCUCUUAUACC
RNAcentral lists this ribosomal RNA (301 nucleotides) under uncultured bacterium. RNAcentral's name for it is "partial 16S ribosomal RNA". It matches the Rfam family "Bacterial small subunit ribosomal RNA", at positions 509 to 808 of the family's 1533-position model. The record is from RNAcentral.